RNAcentral lists this ribosomal RNA (370 nucleotides) under uncultured bacterium. RNAcentral describes it as "bacterial SSU rRNA". It matches the Rfam family "Bacterial small subunit ribosomal RNA", at positions 917 to 1289 of the family's 1533-position model. The record is from RNAcentral.
GGGCCCGCACAAGCGGUGGAGCAUGUGGUUUAAUUCGAUGAUACGCGAGGAACCUUACCAGGGCUUAAAUGUAACGGGACAGAUCUAGAGAUAGAUCCUUCUUCGGACUCAUUACAAGGUGCUGCAUGGUUGUCGUCAGCUCGUGCCGUGAGGUGUCAGGUUAAGUCCUAUAACGAGCGCAACCCCCCAUCGUUAGUUGCCAACGAGUAAUGUCGGGAACUCUAACGAAACUGCCGGUGCAAACCGUGAGGAAGGUGGGGAUGACGUCAAAUCAUCACGGCCCUUACGUCCUGGGCUACACACGUGCUACAAUGGUCGGUACAGAGAGCAGCCACUACGCGAGUAGGAGCAAAUCUUCAAAGCCGAUCUC